This 281-nucleotide unclassified non-coding RNA is filed under the name Hevea brasiliensis (rubber tree). Lineage: Eukaryota; Viridiplantae; Streptophyta; Magnoliopsida; Malpighiales; Euphorbiaceae. The record is from RNAcentral.
CCGGUAUUCAGUUUCCUGUUGGUCGGAUUCAUCGGCAUCUGAAGCAAAGGGCAUCUGCCAAUGGGCGAGUUGGUGCCACUGCUGCUGUCUAUUUGGCUUCUAUUCUCGAGUAUCUGACAGCAGAGGUUCUUGAGUUGGCUGGAAAUGCAAGCAAGGAUCUGAAGGUCAAGAGGAUCACACCAAGGCAUCUGCAGUUGGCCAUUAGAGGUGAUGAAGAACUUGACACGCUCAUCAAGGGAACUAUUGCUGGUGGUGGAGUGAUCCCUCACAUCCACAAAUCU